UUAUUUCAGGUCGUUCCCCUGAAUAUAUGUCAUGGUUUAAGCCAGCUGGCCACCAAGACCUGUGGAGCUGCUCACUCAAUCCCCCUGCAGAAGACUGGGGGGAGAGUUGGAAGGGUAAAAGCCAGAAAAUUUGUGGGUUGAGAUAAAAGUUUAUGGGGAAGGUGAAAGCCAUGCACACAAGCAAUGCAAAACAAGGAAUUCACUUGCUUCUUCCCAUGGGCAGGCAUUCCUGCCCUUUUUUUCUUUAAAUCUGUGGUAACACACUCUAAACUGCUGAACUACAUUCAUGCAUAUAAAAAUUACACCUUCAUUUUGCUGGCUAUGAGGCAAACAAUUGAGUGUCCAGUCUGAAGGCAGUGGAGGAAUUUUGUACACAAGAAGAAAAGCAAAAGGAAAUAAAAGGUUGCUGUCUUAAGAUGGGUAAAGAAAAUGGGAUGUUAAAGGGCUAGAUUACAAAAAAGUGGGCUAUCAUUAGGUAAUUUUCCCUACUGCCUGAUUUCCUUUUGCUCCUCUAUCUUAGUCAGAUUAUGCUAAAUAAUAGACAUUAUGCUAAAUGACAAAACAAAUGGUAAAGACCAGCACAAGAACUUCUCAUGUAGAAGUGCCAGAAGUGCAACUUUGUAAAGUUGUAUUUUUUCCCUUUUUCCCCAAUAGUCUAAAGAUGCUCUUACGAAGAGUAUAUGCUUGUGAAGAAAAGUGGGCUUCUAAUGGAACUAAACCAUAAUUUAUUUUUAUGGCUUGCGAUGUUAAGUAAUUUUACUUAACAUGCCAUUUUUGAAACUAAAUGCAUGACAGAAGGAAAAGCAUGAGACACAGCAAAUGCAUGAAGGAAGAUUUAUACUGAAAAAUAAACUGCUGCUCUGGUUCACUGACACCACAUUCCUCCAGCGUUAGGCAACUCUUGCAGGAAGCUUCAUAUUCCUACUUCUGCCUCAAACCAGCCAAUUUCUAGGAGAAACAUCAUGCAAGUAAUUGCAUUUGCCUGCAAAGCCUGGGUCACUCUGUUGCCAAAUGAUGAGAUUCAAGGCCUAGAAACUGGGAUCUUUGCAAAUUGCGUGCCAGCUACAGCCAGGAUUCGGGUGGGCUCUUUUGCAAACCAUUUGUCUCAUCUAAACAAAUCUGCCAGUUGUCAUUUUCCUAUUUUCUCUUUUUAAAUCCACCUACUAUAAUUAACCUAGGAAAUGCCUAAAGAAAUGCCACCAAAAAGAAAUUUCUCCUUGACAAAUACAGGUUUUUGGAGGAGGAAAGAAAAAAGAAAGUGGGAUACAGAAAAGGACUGGCAGUUCUAGACAGACCAUGACUUCUAUCUGUGAGAUUUUCAUAGUUGAGAAUAAUAAACCUGAGGUUUUAUUUCAAUAGAUAACAUCGGCUAUUAAAAACCAAAUAAACCAGAUCUACAGACUAUCUCUCACCAGUACAGCUGCUCAGGUAUACAUGAGUAGAUGAAAUAUGUUACGGGUAUCCCUGCUGAAAUGUAAAAUGCAAGUGCUGAGAAGCUAACCAAGCUGUAUGAAAGCAUACCAGCUGGGCUGAGACGGCAAAGGAGGAAGGUCAGGAACUCUGAAAAGAAGAAGGAUCAAUACCAAAGUCUUGAGAGGAAUACAUUCAAGUCCUACAGAGAAAAAGAAAACUA
Molecule: non-coding RNA, 1633 nt
Organism: Zonotrichia albicollis (white-throated sparrow)
Lineage: Eukaryota; Metazoa; Chordata; Aves; Passeriformes; Passerellidae
Source: RefSeq, a predicted model, not a curated record